Monodelphis domestica (gray short-tailed opossum) is the source of this 1846-nucleotide long non-coding RNA. The record is from Ensembl. Lineage: Eukaryota; Metazoa; Chordata; Mammalia; Didelphimorphia; Didelphidae.
GCGGCCAGCAGGCCACGCCACCGCGCCAGGGAACGGGAAAGACUACAGGCCCCAGCAUGCCCCGCGGCUCCGUGCCCUACCACGCCCUCGCUCCGCCUUCCGGCCACGCGCCUGCGCACAGGGGCUGGUGGCGGAGCGCUGACGGCCUGGGAGCUGAGGGGCCAGCAACAGAGUGAGGGACAGACAGCCCUGCUGGGGGCCUCGGCCCGGCCCCAGGGCUUUGGGACGCCGCCUGGACAAGUAAAGGCUUUCCCAGAGGAAGCAAUUUCAGCGAAGGAGCCUCGUCUUCGUGCAUGUGGGCAUCUUCUGAAUGAAAAUGGAAGCCGCGCGGCGCGAGCGCACCAGUUGCCGCUUCAAGUCCGUCUCCCACGAGAGCCCCCAUUUCGACAGACAACUGAGCAGCCUGGAAACAUUUUAGGAUCGAAUUUAAUUUUUCCCCAUUGCACAGAAGCCGUUUUCACAGUCGCUCACCGACGCUUUGAGGUCCGACCUCUGUCCCUUCCCGGGCCGGGCCGGGCCGUCCUUUGCCCUUUUCCCGAUCUCGGGGGCGGCUGUCGCGGCGCUCGUGCCUCCGUCGGGCCUCGCCUGGAGCUCUUCGUGUGCUCGGACUCCGCAUGUGGGGAAACGAGGCCUUCCCGGGGGCCGCGAGGCAGAGGAGGCCCCGCCGUGCGGCCUCCUCGGGGGCCUGAGCCGGGAGAGGACAGCGGAGAGAAGGGCCUGCAGGCGGCCCCAAAGGACGAAGGCCGGCUACGAGGGGGGACGGGCGAGAAGGCAGGUUUGGGGCUCCCGGCUGGCCCCGCCGCCUGCCUUGACCUCUCCACAGCCGCCCCAACACGGGGGACUUGAGAAAAGCCAACUGUGGGGGCCGGAGGGGGGCGCCGCGGGGAAGGCCAGCGGGCAGCUUGGCCCGGCCGAGGGAGUCGGGUGCCGGGGCCGCGGCUCCGGGCCGUGAGCUGGAUUCGGAGGGCCACGAGGCUCCCUUCCCCGGGCCGAGGCUCUCGCCUGCCCUUCUUCCUGCUUCCUCCUUGGCUGGGCCCCAACGCAAACAGAGGACGGGCGGCGCCGCAGCUCCAGGAGGUUGUCGAGAGGGCCGGGCCGGGGAGGGGCCCAGGUGACGCCCCUCAUCCCGGAGGGGCCCCACCGGCUGCUGCCACGAUGGGGGCGGCCGUGCCGGGUCUGGUCUGCCCUGCGACACCCCCCAGUGGGGCGGCCCCGGACCCUCACCUCAGCCUACAGCCUCUGGGCCGGAUGACCUGGCCGGAGAGGCGGGCUCGAAGCCCCCCAGUGCCCGCGUUUCCAUGGCGACCAGAAGCAGGAAAAACCAGCCGGCCCAGCGGGGAGAUUCCUGCCCUGCGUCCAAGCCCUGAAGGGGACGGGACGGGGCGACCCGCCGAGAACAGCAGAGCCUGGGGGGGGGGGGGGCAGAGGCGGUCAGGGCAGGCCAGAACCGGGGGUGUCGUCAUCUGCAGGUGAGGGUGGGGGUGGGGUGCCCGGCAGGCCGUGGGGGCCCCCCCACGUCAUUCUUUAUGGAUGUGCCCAGCCUGGCACUGCCCGGUCUGUGCCCAUGUCUUCAAGGCCCAGGAGGGAGCAUCGUCCCCCUGGGGUGCCCUUCCUGGCCUCUCUGGCCUGAGGCUUGGCUGCCAGGCAGGUUCCUCCUGUUCCUGCUGGUCUCUGGGGCUCGUGGGGGAUGGGUUCAAGAGACCACAAGACCCCCGGAAUCUCCCAGCCGCUGUCCCUGCUCGAGAGAAGCAGAGCUGGGCCUCAGCAUGAGGGGGGGUCUUCGCUGGGGGGCUCCCCAAGUCUGAAGGCAUUGCUGGGCCAGCACGGCCCUGGAGGGCCUCGGACC